This 265-nucleotide ribosomal RNA is filed under the name uncultured bacterium. RNAcentral's name for it is "partial 16S ribosomal RNA". It matches the Rfam family "Bacterial small subunit ribosomal RNA", at positions 793 to 1055 of the family's 1533-position model. The record is from RNAcentral.
GUCCACGCCCUAAACGAUGCGAACUAGGUGUUGGGGAAGGAGACUUUCUUAGUACCGCAGCUAACGCGUGAAGUUCGCCGCCUGGGGAGUACGGUCGCAAGAUUAAAACUCAAAGGAAUUGACGGGGACCCGCACAAGCGGUGGAUGAUGUGGAUUAAUUCGAUGCAACGCGAAAACCUUACCUACCCUUGACAUGGCACUAACGAAGCAGAGAUGCAUUAGGUGCCCGAAAGGGAAGUGGACACAGGUGCUGCAUGGCUGUCGU